GAUGAACGCUGGCGGCGUGCCUAAUACAUGCAAGUCGAGCGAACGGACGAUAAGCUUGCUUCUCUGAUGUUAGCGGCGGACGGGUGAGUAACACGUGGAUAACCUACCUAUAAGACUGGGAUAACUUCGGGAAACCGUAUCUAAUACCGGAUAAUAUUUUGAACCGCAUGGUUCAAAAGUUAAAGACGGUCUUCCUGUCACUUAUAGAUGGAUCCGCGCUGCAUUAGCUAGUUGGUAAGGUAACGGCUUACCAAGGCAACGAUGCAUAGCCGACCUGAGAGGGUGAUCGGCCACACUGGAACUGAGACACGGUCCAGACUCCUACGGGAGGCAGCAGUAGGGAAUCUUCGGCAAUGGGCGAAAGCCUGACGGAGCAACGCCGCGUGAGUGAUGAAGGUCUUCGGAUCGUAAAACUCUGUUAUUAGGGAAGAACAUAUGUGUAAGUAACUGUGCACAUCUUGACGGUACCUAAUCAGAAAGCCCCGGCUAACUACGUG
This 497-nucleotide ribosomal RNA is filed under the name uncultured bacterium. RNAcentral's name for it is "partial 16S ribosomal RNA". It matches the Rfam family "Bacterial small subunit ribosomal RNA", at positions 28 to 507 of the family's 1533-position model. The record is from RNAcentral.